Molecule: ribosomal RNA, 271 nt
Filed under: uncultured bacterium
Lineage: Bacteria
Description: partial 16S ribosomal RNA
Rfam family: Bacterial small subunit ribosomal RNA
Source: RNAcentral
UACAGAGGGGGCAAGCGUUGUUCGGAAUUACUGGGCGUAAAGGGCGCGUAGGCGGCCUGCUAAGUCGAACGUGAAAUCCCCGGGCUCAACCCGGGAACUGCGUUCGAGACUGGCGGGCUUGAAUUCGGGAGAGGGAUGCGGAAUUCCAGGUGUAGCGGUGAAAUGCGUAGAUAUCUGGAGGAACACCGGUGGCGAAGGCGGCAUCCUGGACCGACAUUGACGCUGAGGCGCGAAAGCCAGGGGAGCAAACGGGAUUAGAAACCCGGGUAGU